This is a long non-coding RNA of Apodemus sylvaticus (European woodmouse), 850 nucleotides long. RefSeq lists it as uncharacterized. The transcript has 3 exons. Lineage: Eukaryota; Metazoa; Chordata; Mammalia; Rodentia; Muridae. The record is from RefSeq and is a predicted model, not a curated record.
GGAGCAGCAGCUGCAUUUUCUCCUGAAAUUGCUUCUGAAAAUGACCAGACACUUCACUGGGAGAGUGACGACAAUUUGGGCCCUGGGAGCCGGAGCCGAGGCGGAGAGCGGGGGCGAUCGGGCGCGGGUCACCACCCACUCCCCGCCAGACGAGAUCUUCUGAUUCUGAGAAGUCAAGCCCGACGUAGUCACCACGGAACGGGAUAGGCACACUGCGGACACGUGAGAGGCACACCAUGUGAACCAGCCUUCCUGAGGGCUCUGCUCUUGUACCACCUCCUACUUUAGAGAUCCAGAGACAUGGCCCAGGAUCAACGCCAUCAGGACUACAGCGCGGCACGCGCGUGCACACGUGCGCUGGGUCAGAGACGUCAAGGAGGGCACAGCUCGGUGUCUCCAGUCCUCCCAAGUUUACCAAGUGCCGUGUGACAGAAACGACUACGGCAUCUGGAGGCCCUCACCUCUGGGGGAGUUUCCCACUGUGGUGAGGUCAUUGAAACAGAAAGAGGACGAGGUGAGGACCAAGUAGCGAAGAGCAGAGCGUCUGGGCGGUGGGGUGACCUUGCGCCAACCCGGACGCUUGUUGCCAAAGUCCCGACUGUUGAUGUUUUGUCUAAGCUCCACCCCACACCUACUGAGCAAUAGCCAGGUCUGCCCCGCCCCAGAGAUCUGGCCCACUAUAAGAGGGCUACUUGCCCCUCCUCUCCCUCUUUGCUCUCCCGCUCUCCCACACUCUCUCACCUCUCUGCCCAUGGGGCUCCUCCCCCCCCCACGUGGUCAUGGCCGGCCUCCACUCCUCUACUCUCUCUCUCUACCACUAACUCCCAUCCCCUACUCUGAGUAAACUCUA